CCUACGGGAGGCAGCAGUGGGGAAUUUUGGACAAUGGGGGCAACCCUGAUCCAGCAAUGCCGCGUGAGUGAAGAAGGCCUUCGGGUUGUAAAGCUCUUUUGUCAGGGAAGAAACGGUGUGAGCUAAUAUCUCAUGCUAAUGACGGUACCUGAAGAAUAAGCACCGGCUAAUUACGUGCCAGCAGCCGCGGUAAUACGUAGGGUGCAAGCGUUAAUCGGAAUUACUGGGCGUAAAGCGUGCGCAGGCGGUUUUGUAAGACUGUCGUGAAAUCCCCGGGCUCAACCUGGGAAUGGCGAUGGUGACUGCAAGGCUAGAGUUUGGCAGAGGGGGGUAGAAUUCCACGUGUAGCAGUGAAAUGCGUAGAUAUGUGGAGGAACACCGAUGGCGAAGGCAGCCCCCUGGGUCAAAACUGACGCUCAUGCACGAAAGCGUGGGGAGCAAACAGGAUUAGAUACCCUGGUAGUCCACGCCCUAAACGAUGUCUACUAGUUGUCGGGUUUUAAUUCACUUGGUGACGCAGGUA
RNAcentral lists this ribosomal RNA (523 nucleotides) under uncultured Duganella sp. Its description in RNAcentral is "bacterial SSU rRNA". It matches the Rfam family "Bacterial small subunit ribosomal RNA", at positions 338 to 854 of the family's 1533-position model. Lineage: Bacteria; Pseudomonadati; Pseudomonadota; Betaproteobacteria; Burkholderiales; Oxalobacteraceae. The record is from RNAcentral.